RNAcentral lists this transfer RNA (92 nucleotides) under bacterium ADurb.Bin132. RNAcentral describes it as "tRNA-Sec". It matches the Rfam family "Selenocysteine transfer RNA". RNAcentral also lists the same sequence under 3 other names. The record is from RNAcentral.
GGGAGCGGUUGGGCUCUGGUGGGCCUCCUGGACUUCAAAUCCAGUGUGGGGUGAACUCCCCGGGUAGGUUCGAUUCCUAUGCGCUCCCGCCA